UCGCUGGAUGUUCUUGGUCAGUUUGAGAUGGAACACCCUUGGUAUGUUCAGGGUAUCUAAUCAAGCAGCUGAAAGCAUAACAGCUGUAUAAUAACGAGCCAGGUAGCUCAAGAUCACUGCUUAAAAAAAUCCAGCAGUAAACCAACACUGCAAACUCAUAACACUGAUCAACAUUUCUCUAACUCGGACUACUUUACACUUACACAGCAUCCAAAUCAUAGAUCUGGACUUGCCCACCCCUACAAAAGUCCUCUCAAAAGCUAAAGCUAGGUCAGUCGGAUAAAGCUAGAGCUAGAGCUAGGUCAGCCGGGUAAACUCUUUACCGACACCAA
Molecule: long non-coding RNA, 332 nt
Filed under: Triticum aestivum (bread wheat)
Lineage: Eukaryota; Viridiplantae; Streptophyta; Magnoliopsida; Poales; Poaceae
Description: long non-coding RNA (TAES_LNC015093)
Source: RNAcentral